Molecule: unclassified non-coding RNA, 380 nt
Filed under: uncultured Pseudobdellovibrionaceae bacterium
Lineage: Bacteria; Pseudomonadati; Bdellovibrionota; Bdellovibrionia; Bdellovibrionales; Pseudobdellovibrionaceae
Description: uncultured Bdellovibrionaceae bacterium contains 16S-23S intergenic spacer region
Source: RNAcentral
UCCAGUUUGACACUGGCAGUCCCCCUAGAGUGCCCAACUUAAUGCUGGCAACAAGGGGCGUGGGUUGCGCUCGUUGCGGGACUUAACCCAACAUCUCACGACACGAGCUGACGACAGCCAUGCAGCACCUGUCUAUCAGUCCCCGAAGGGAAAGCCUGCUUUCACAGAGCCGUCCAAUAGAUGUCAAGACCAGGAUAAGGUUCUUCGCGUUGCGUCGAAUUAAACCACAUGCUCCACUGCUUGUGCGGGUCCCCGUCAAUUUCUUUGAGUUUUAAUCUUGCGACCGUACUCCCCAGGCGGGAUGCUUAACGCGUUAGCUCCGUCACUGAAAGGGUUAACACUUCCAACGACAAGCAUCCAUCGUUUACGGCGUGGACUAC